This 484-nucleotide ribosomal RNA is filed under the name uncultured bacterium. Its description in RNAcentral is "partial 16S ribosomal RNA". It matches the Rfam family "Bacterial small subunit ribosomal RNA", at positions 30 to 507 of the family's 1533-position model. The record is from RNAcentral.
AUUGAACGCUGGCGGCAGGCCUAACACAUGCAAGUCGAGCGGAUGAAGGGAGCUUGCUCCUGGAUUCAGCGGCGGACGGGUGAGUAAUGCCUAGGAAUCUGCCUGGUAGUGGGGGAUAACGUCCGGAAACGGGCGCUAAUACCGCAUACGUCCUGAGGGAGAAAGUGGGGGAUCUUCGGACCUCACGCUAUCAGAUGAGCCUAGGUCGGAUUAGCUAGUUGGUGGGGUAAAGGCCUACCAAGGCGACGAUCCGUAACUGGGCUGAGAGGAUGAUCAGUCACACUGGAACUGAGACACGGUCCAGAGUCCUACGGGAGGCAGCAGUGGGGAAUAUUGGACAAUGGGCGAAAGCUUGAUCCAGCCAUGCCGCGUGGGUGAAGAAGGUCUUCGGAUUGUAAAGCACUUUAAGUUGGGAGGAAGGGCAGUAAGUUAAUACCUUGCUGUUUUGACGUUACCAACAGAAUAAGCACCGGCUAACUUCGUG